RNAcentral lists this ribosomal RNA (1284 nucleotides) under Hypoxylon pulicicidum. RNAcentral describes it as "LSU rRNA". It matches the Rfam family "Eukaryotic large subunit ribosomal RNA", at positions 89 to 1401 of the family's 3401-position model. The record is from RNAcentral. Lineage: Eukaryota; Fungi; Ascomycota; Sordariomycetes; Xylariales; Hypoxylaceae.
GCGAGUGAAGCGGCAACAGCUCAAAUUUGAAAUCUGGCCCUAGUGGUCCGAAUUGUAAUUUGUAGAGGAUGCUUUUGGUGCGGUGCCUUCCGAGUUCCCUGGAACGGGACGCCGGAGAGGGUGAGAGCCCCGUACGGUUGGACACCUAGCCUCUGUAUAGCUCCUUCGACGAGUCGAGUAGUUUGGGAAUGCUGCUCUAAAUGGGAGGUAAAUUUCUUCUAAAGCUAAAUACCGGCCAGAGACCGAUAGCGCACAAGUAGAGUGAUCGAAAGAUGAAAAGCACUUUGAAAAGAGGGUUAAAUAGCACGUGAAAUUGUUGAAAGGGAAGCGUUUGCGACCAGACCUUUUCCGGGCGGAUCAUCCGGCGUUCUCGCCGGUGCACUUCGUCCGGUCUAGGCCAGCAUCGGUUUCCUUAGGGGGAUAAAGGCUUGGGGAACGUAGCUCUUUAGGGAGUGUUAUAGCCCCUUGCGUAAUACCCUUCGGGGGACCGAGGACCGCGCUCUGCAAGGAUGCUGGCGUAAUGGUCGUCAACGACCCGUCUUGAAACACGGACCAAGGAGUCGAACAUUUGUGCGAGUGUUUGGGUGUUAAACCCUUACGCGUAAUGAAAGUGAACGGAGGUGAGAGCCCUUACGGGUGCAUCAUCGACCGAUCCUGAUGUCUUCGGAUGGAUUUGAGUAAGAGCAUAACUGUUCGGACCCGAAAGAUGGUGAACUAUGCGUGGAUAGGGUGAAGCCAGAGGAAACUCUGGUGGAGGCUCGCAGCGGUUCUGACGUGCAAAUCGAUCGUCAAAUCUGCGCAUGGGGGCGAAAGACUUAUCGAACCAUCUAGUAGCUGGUUACCGCCGAAGUUUCCCUCAGGAUAGCAGUGUUGUCUUCAGUUUUAUGAGGUAAAGCGAAUGAUUAGGGACUCGGGGGCGCUAUAUUGCCUUCAUCCAUUCUCAAACUUUAAAUAUGUAAGAAGCCCUUGUUACUUAAGUGAACGUGGGCAUUCGAAUGUACCAACACUAGUGGGCCAUUUUUGGUAAGCAGAACUGGCGAUGCGGGAUGAACCGAACGCGGGGUUAAGGUGCCAGAGUGGACGCUCAUCAGACACCACAAAAGGUGUUAGUACAUCUNGACAGCAGGACUGUGGCCAUGGAAGUCGGAAUCAGCUAAGGACUGUGUAACAACUCACCUGCCGAAUGUACUAGCCCUGAAAAUGGAUGGCGCUCAAGCGUCUCACCCAUACCUCGCCCUUAGGGUAGAAACGAUGCCCUAAGGAGUAGGCGGCCGUGGGGGUCAG